AGUAGAAUGGCUGAGUUUAAAGGUGAUAGAUUGUAAAUCUAUUAAGGGGUUAUGAAUAAUACCCUUCUACUA
Molecule: transfer RNA, 72 nt
Filed under: Eurycotis decipiens
Lineage: Eukaryota; Metazoa; Arthropoda; Insecta; Blattodea; Blattidae
Description: tRNA-Tyr
Rfam family: tRNA
About the family: Transfer RNA (tRNA) molecules are approximately 80 nucleotides in length. Their secondary structure includes four short double-helical elements and three loops (D, anti-codon, and T loops).
Source: RNAcentral